This 433-nucleotide ribosomal RNA is filed under the name uncultured bacterium. RNAcentral describes it as "partial 16S ribosomal RNA". It matches the Rfam family "Bacterial small subunit ribosomal RNA", at positions 29 to 507 of the family's 1533-position model. The record is from RNAcentral.
AAUGAACGCCGGCGGCAGGCCUAACACAUGCAAGUCGAGCGAGCAUUUCGGUGCUAGCGGCGGACGGGUGAGUAACGCGUGGGAACGUGCCCUUUUCUGCGGAAUAGUCCUGGGAAACUGGGGGUAAUACCGCAUACGCCCUUUUGGGGAAAGAUUUAUCGGAGAAGGAUCGGCCCGCGUUGGAUUAGGUAGUUGGUGGGGUAAUGGCCCACCAAGCCGACGAUCCAUAGCUGGUUUGAGAGGAUGAUCAGCCACACUGGGACUGAGACACGGCCCAGACUCCUACGGGAGGCAGCAGUGGGGAAUCUUAGACAAUGGGGGCAACCCUGAUCUAGCCAUGCCGCGUGAGUGAUGAAGGCCUUAGGGUUGUAAAGCUCUUUCAGCUGGGAAGAUAAUGACGGUACCAGCAGAAGAAGCCCCGGCUAACUCCGUG